UUGCUUCAGUAGCAUAUAUUCUAAAAACUGGAAUGACACAGAGAAGAUUAGGAGGGCCCCCGGGCCAGGAUGAUAUGCAAAUUUGUGAAGUGUUCAUUUUAAUA
Nomascus leucogenys (northern white-cheeked gibbon) is the source of this 104-nucleotide small nuclear RNA. The record is from Ensembl. NCBI's taxonomy places the organism in Eukaryota, Metazoa, Chordata, Mammalia, Primates, Hylobatidae.